UGGGGAAUAUUGCACAAUGGGGGAAACCCUGAUGCAGCGACGCCGCGUGAGCGAUGAAGUAUUCGGUAUGUAAAGCUCUAUAAGCAGGGAAGAAUUAAGACGGUACCUGACUAAGAAGCACCGGCUAAAUACGUGCC
RNAcentral lists this ribosomal RNA (137 nucleotides) under uncultured bacterium. RNAcentral's name for it is "partial 16S ribosomal RNA". It matches the Rfam family "Bacterial small subunit ribosomal RNA", at positions 355 to 509 of the family's 1533-position model. The record is from RNAcentral.